RNAcentral lists this transfer RNA (71 nucleotides) under Marmota monax (woodchuck). Its description in RNAcentral is "tRNA.Ala". Lineage: Eukaryota; Metazoa; Chordata; Mammalia; Rodentia; Sciuridae. The record is from RNAcentral.
GGGGUUGUGGCUCAGUGGUAGAGCGCUCACAUAGCACAUGUGAGGCCCUUUGUUCAAUCCUCAGCACCACA